GAUGAACGCUGGCGGCGUGCUUAACACAUGCAAGUCGAACGAUAAGGCCCUGCUUGCUGGGUACUUGAGUGGCGAACGGGUGAGUAACACGUGAGUAACCUGCCCUUUACUCUGGGAUAAGCCUGGGAAACUGGGUCUAAUACCGGAUAGGAGCGCCUACCGCAUGGGGGGGGUUGGAGCGUUUUAGGGAUUGUGGGUGGACUCGGGCCCUAUGAGCGUGUGGGUGGGGUUGUGGUACACAAAGGCGACGGGGGGUAGCGGGCCUGAGAGUGUGAGGGGCCACACGGGGACUGAGACACGGCCCAGACUCCUACGGGAGGCAGCAGUGGGGAAUUGUGCACAAUGGGCGAAAGCCUUAUGCAGCGACGCCGCGUGAGGGAUGACGGCCUUCGGGUUGUAAACCUUUUGCAGCAGGGAAGAAGCGAAAGUGACGGUACCUUCAGAAGAAGCACCGGCUAACUACGUG
RNAcentral lists this ribosomal RNA (466 nucleotides) under uncultured bacterium. Its description in RNAcentral is "partial 16S ribosomal RNA". It matches the Rfam family "Bacterial small subunit ribosomal RNA", at positions 28 to 507 of the family's 1533-position model. The record is from RNAcentral.